Molecule: ribosomal RNA, 508 nt
Filed under: uncultured bacterium
Lineage: Bacteria
Description: bacterial SSU rRNA
Rfam family: Bacterial small subunit ribosomal RNA
Source: RNAcentral
CUACGUGCCAGCAGCCGCGGUAAUACGGGGGGUGCGAGCGUUAAUCGGAAUAACUGGGCGUAAAGGGCACGCAGGCGGUGACUUAAGUGAGAUGUGAAAGCCCCGAGCUUAACUUGGGAAUUGCAUUUCAUACUGGGUCGCUAGAGUACUUUAGGGAGGGGUAGAAUUCCACGUGUAGCGGUGAAAUGCGUAGAGAUGUGGAGGAAUACCGAAGGCGAAGGCAGCCCCUUGGGAAUGUACUGACGCUCAUGUGCGAAAGCGUGGGGAGCAAACAGGAUUAGAUACCCUGGUAGUCCACGCUGUAAACGAUGUCGACUUGGAGGUUGUGCCCUUGAGGCGUGGCUUCCGGAGCUAACGCGUUAAGUCAACCGCCUGGGGAGUACGGCCGCAAGGUUAAAACUCAAAUGAAUUGACGGGGGCCCGCACAAGCGGUGGAGCAUGUGGUUUAAUUCGAUGCAACGCGAAGAACCUUACCUACUCUUGACAUCCAGAGAAUUCGCUGGAGAUA